UAGGGAAUCUUCCGCAAUGGACGCAAGUCUGACGGAGCAACGCCGCGUGAGUGAAGAAGGAUUUCGGUUCGUAAAACUCUGUUGUUAGAGAAGAACAGCGCAUAGAGUAACUGUUAUGCGUGUGACGGUAUCUAACCAGAAAGCCACGGCUAACUACGUGCCAGCAGCCGCGGUAAUACGUAGGUGGCAAGCGUUGUCCGGAUUUAUUGGGCGUAAAGCGAGCGCAGGCGGUCAAUUAAGUCUGAUGUGAAAGCCCCCGGCUCAACCGGGGAGGGUCAUUGGAAACUGGUGGACUUGAGUGCAGAAGAGGAGAGUGGAAUUCCAUGUGUAGCGGAGAAAUGCGUAGAUAUAUGGAGGAACACCAGUGGCGAAGGCGACUCUCUGGUCUGUAUCUGACGCUGAGGCUCGAAAGCGUGGGUAGAAAACAGG
RNAcentral lists this ribosomal RNA (429 nucleotides) under Bacteroidota bacterium. Its description in RNAcentral is "Bacteroidetes bacterium partial 16S ribosomal RNA". It matches the Rfam family "Bacterial small subunit ribosomal RNA", at positions 355 to 776 of the family's 1533-position model. The record is from RNAcentral. Lineage: Bacteria; Pseudomonadati; Bacteroidota.